This is an RNA transcript of Salvia miltiorrhiza (redroot sage), 1230 nucleotides long. It is a transcript of the gene named protein CYCLOPS-like, with no coding region annotated. The transcript has 7 exons. The record is from RefSeq and is a predicted model, not a curated record. Lineage: Eukaryota; Viridiplantae; Streptophyta; Magnoliopsida; Lamiales; Lamiaceae.
CUGUAAGUUUUAUUUAUCCACAUUAAUCGAUUUCUUCCUCAUAUUCUCUCCCCAAAAAUUUAAACCCUAGCUCCGUAGCUCGCUCCUUUCGAUUUCGCCGCUCACUGGCCACCCGCCGCCCGUUGCUACUCCGCCACUCAUUCCCACUCUACCAUCUCGUCUCUCCGCCGCUUCCCUGUAACAGAAAAGAUUCUCUGGAAUAAUUCAGAGAUUAGAGAAAACUUCAAGUUCUAUUUGAUUAUUUGAUAGACUUCGGAAGACAAACAAUGAUCCUUCAAAGCAUCAAGCAUUUUAUGUAUUCAGGGUAUUGCUUUUGGAUGAAAACUGCAGCUUUUCUUCUAAUAUAGCUUAUGCGAAAUUGCAAGUCAGAUAAGUAGUUUCUGUUUAUGCUGUAGUUUGUAUGUUAUUUGUAUUCUAUUUAGGUUUGUUUGGUCUCAACUUUUGUUUGCUUGUGGAAUAUUGCAGGUAGCCCAAGAAACUGAAACAGAAUCAAACUUUCAAAAUGAUCUUCUGAAUCAGCCGUCCCACUAUGACGAUGGGAAAUGCAGUUGUGUGAAGAAUUUUGUGUGAAGUUACUCUAAGAGAAAUGGAGUUGAGAAAGGGGUGCAGGCUAGUAAUCUGUUUCUGGCAAAGGCGUGGUUCUACAGUUCUCAGCCUAUGACUAGGAGCAGAUCAUCUGAGUUGAGGAGGAGGUAUGUUGCAAUGCAAAACUCACAAACACCAAUAGGAAUUGAGGCCAUGAUGCAGCAAGAACGCGCACAGCAAGCAAAUGGAUUCAACAUGUCAACAAUCUAUGAGAAUCCCAAUCACCAUUUCAAUGAAUCAUCAUCAUUCAUGUCUCCCUCCAAUUCAUCCUCUUCCACUUUCAACAACCCUCAAGGAGGGAAUGUGGACCAGAUCUUGUCUGUCGUGAGCAUGCUCAAGAUCCCGACUCAUCACAUUAAGGACAUUUCGCACCCCCCCUGUAUUUAAUUCAGCUAUUUUUUAUUGUUCAAAUUGUAUUGAUGAAAAAUAGGCUGUCGUAGCUUGAUAUGUAAUUUUUUUUUUUCAAAAAUCAUCACAAAUUACCGAGGGAUUACCGAGGGAAAAAUCCCUCGGCAAAAAUGUCGGCCAAUUUGCAGUAUUUUCCGAGCGAGUUUUGCCUCGGUAAUUACUCGGUAAACUUUACCGACGGAAACUAUCACUCGGUAAAAUUUUACCGACAUUGAAAUUAACGACGUCCGUUUUAUA